CGGCGGACGGGUGAGUAACGCGUGGGUAACCUGCCUCAUACAGGGGGAUAACAGUUGGAAACGGCUGCUAAUACCGCAUAAGCGCACAGUACCGCAUGGUACCGUGUGAAAAACUCCGGUGGUAUGAGAUGGACCCGCGUCUGAUUAGCUAGUUGGUGGGGUAACGGCCUACCAAGGCGACGAUCCGUAGCCGACCUGAGAGGGUGACCGGCCACAUUGGGACUGAGACACGGCCCAA
RNAcentral lists this ribosomal RNA (238 nucleotides) under uncultured bacterium. Its description in RNAcentral is "partial 16S ribosomal RNA". It matches the Rfam family "Bacterial small subunit ribosomal RNA", at positions 96 to 334 of the family's 1533-position model. The record is from RNAcentral.